UACGAAGGGUGCAAGCGUUACUCGGAAUUACUGGGCGUAAAGCGUGCGUAGGUGGUUCGUUAAGUCUGAUGUGAAAGCCCUGGGCUCAACCUGGGAAUUGCAUUGGAUACUGGCGGGCUAGAGUGCGGUAGAGGAUGGCGGAAUUCCCGGUGUAGCAGUGAAAUGCGUAGAGAUCGGGAGGAACAUCUGUGGCGAAGGCGGCCAUCUGGACCAGCACUGACACUGAGGCACGAAAGCGUGGGGAGCAAAC
This 250-nucleotide ribosomal RNA is filed under the name uncultured bacterium. RNAcentral describes it as "partial 16S ribosomal RNA". It matches the Rfam family "Bacterial small subunit ribosomal RNA", at positions 524 to 773 of the family's 1533-position model. The record is from RNAcentral.